Non-coding RNA from Podarcis muralis (Common wall lizard), 529 nucleotides. The record is from RefSeq and is a predicted model, not a curated record. Lineage: Eukaryota; Metazoa; Chordata; Lepidosauria; Squamata; Lacertidae.
GAGGUGGACUAGGCCCCAGGAAUAAAAACCCAUGAAGCAGAGAGGAGUGAAAACUGCCACCUCAGUCUGAUCCGCCCCGGGGGCAGUGCCAGUGCCGCAGCCCACCUGCCACUGGCCAGAUAGGCAAGCAAGCUGUGAUCCACUUCCCAGGCCUGGGUGAAGCCAAAAAGGGAUCACUUGACCCCAGGAAAAGCUCUCACCUCCAGCACGACCGCCAGAUACAGGGGAGGCAUUGUCAACAUCCCACAAUGGUGCCCAACCUAACGUGUAUCUUUUUCCCCUCUGGGAAUGUGAAUGGGGGAUGCACACGUGAAGAAGAGGAAGAGGGAGGACCAUCCUUCGCUGUGGAAACUAUCUGAGAGUAUCUAUACCACAGGCUUAGAGAUUUUCAACGCAGCAGUGCCAUUCUGGAAGUACCCUCCCUGCAUCCAAUCCAAGAAGUAAAAACUGUUUGACCAGCUGUGUCCACAGGACAAAUGAUGCCUCUAUUGCACCACUCUCAGCUCCAUUAAAAACAGAAGCGAAAGGA